This 254-nucleotide ribosomal RNA is filed under the name uncultured bacterium. RNAcentral's name for it is "partial 16S ribosomal RNA". It matches the Rfam family "Bacterial small subunit ribosomal RNA", at positions 524 to 776 of the family's 1533-position model. The record is from RNAcentral.
UACGAACUGUGCAAACGUUAUUCGGAAUCACUGGGCUUAAAGGGUGCGUAGGCGGCUAUUUAAGUAGGGUGUGAAAGCCCCCCGGCUCAACCGGGGAAUUGCGUCCUAAACUGGAUAGCUCGAGUGAGAUAGAGGUGUGCGGAACUUCCGGUGGAGCGGUGAAAUGUGUUGAUAUCGGAAGGAACGCCGGUGGCGAAAGCGGCACACUGGGUCUCAACUGACGCUGAGGCACGAAAGCCAGGGGAGCAAACAGG